GUUAAGACUUUGUUUGUUUGUUUGUUUGUUUGGUUGGUUGGUUGGUUGGUUGGUUGGUUUGAUUUAUGUUUUAUUGUCUCUCUUCAAAGCAGCCCGACCCUUUCUCCUAACUGGAAUUGCUGGGAGAAGGAGGCCUGAAUUGUUCCCUUCUCUCUCAAGGGCCUGACUGAGAGUCCCUUUCCAAUAUUUCUACUGGGAAAAAGGACAAAGUAGAAUCCUACUGAUUCCUGUAUUCCUCUUUAAAUAAUUAUAAUAAUGGUUUGGGGACUAUAAUUAUAGCUGUUAUGUUAUGUUUUGCCACAUCACAACAAAAUUAAAGAUACCUAGCCAGGCUUUCAUGAUAUUUAAAGAGUGAUUUUCCCAAUUCUACCCCACAGAUACCUAGCCAGGCUUUCAUGAUAUUUAAGGAGUGGUUUUCCCAAUUCUACCCCACAAGCGAGUUUAUUUGUUUGUUUGUUUGAUUGAUGAUUGAUUGAUUGAUUGAUUGAUUUUUACCCCGCCCCUCUAGACAAUGUCUACUCAUUUACAUGGCCAAGUGAGAAUUUGAACCCAGAUCUCCUGAGUCUUGUUCCAUCACUCUGUCUACUGCACUGCACUUGGCAUUGUAACUCAUCACCUGGAAUCUGAUCAGUGUCCACAUAAGACUGUCAAAGGUGAGUCACAGGGCAACAGACAAACUGAACGCUGUGCCUGAAACUACAAAACGAGAAGAAGCAGAGAAAGGAAAAUACAAACCCGGGAAGAAAUGUUAUGAAACGGUCUCCUCAGGAAAAUUCUCUCUUUGUCUCUCUAGCUCUCCCAGUUUCCCCCAGCAGGUCAGUGCGUUUCAAAACACAAACACUUGUACACCUCCCUACCAUGAUAUGACGAGUCCAUCAAGAAUCAAGGAAAAGAGGUUGUUGAACAUGGGGAAAUGGAACACUGCCUGUCUCUAGAAAUUUGCGGGUGAGGUUCAUGUCAGUUGGGCUGCCAAAAUUCCAAAUGACACGGCCUCAGAGAAGAGGAUGGAUUAGGAAGAGUUAUUAUACAGAGAGAGAGAGAGAGACCAUUCUUCCUUUUCUUCCCCCUUCUCCCCUGGGUUUCUUGAUGAGCACCAUCUCUUGAUCCUGACGGGAGCAGUAAACAGCUUGUGUUUCGUCUCAGAAAAGUUUCGCCUUUCUUCAUUUCAUUAAAGCACUGGUUCUUAUUUAUUUGUUUGUUUGUUUGUUUGUUUGUUUGUUUGUUUGUUUAUUGGACUUAUAUACCGCCCCAUAGCGCUACAAGCACUCUCCGGGCGGUUUACAAUUUUUAAUUAUACAGGCUACACAUUGCCCCCCCAGCAAGCUGGGUACUCAUUUUACCGACCUCGGAAGGAUGGAAGGCUGAGUCAACCUUGAGCCAGGAGUUUUGGACUGCAACUCCCAGAAGCCUUCACCACCAGCUGUCCUGACUGGGGUUUUUGGGAGUUGCAGUUCAAAAGCAUCCGAGUAACAAAGGUUAAGAACCACUGCAUUAAAACAUCAGACGCAUGGAAUCAUAGAUCUGGACGGGGUUGUUAGGCAUCCUUCAGUCUCGAAAGACUGUGGUGACGUGCUCUGUAUGGAGGACUUGGAACAGCGUCUAGUGUUGCUGAGGAGGCCAAUUCGAGAGUGACAAUCUCUUCCACACUGAAGACAAAUCCAAUCUGUCCCCUGUCCAGCUCCCUGGUUUUGCUGCUUUUGUGACUUCCUCUUUGCCUCAGCCUGCUGGACAAGGGUCUCUUCAAAUUGGGAGAGGCCGUGAUCCCACAGCCUUGCCAUGGCUAGAUAGCUCAGCGGCUUAGGGAUCUGGCUGUGGACCCAGAGGUCAGGAGUAGAGAUGGACACAAACCAAACCACGAACCGGGGUGAGAAAAACAACACACAAACUGG
This 1889-nucleotide long non-coding RNA is filed under the name Pogona vitticeps (central bearded dragon). RNAcentral's name for it is "lncRNA (ENSPVIG00000022113.1)". The record is from RNAcentral. Lineage: Eukaryota; Metazoa; Chordata; Lepidosauria; Squamata; Agamidae.